Dallia pectoralis (Alaska blackfish) is the source of this 73-nucleotide non-coding RNA. The record is from the annotation of a GenBank genome assembly. NCBI's taxonomy places the organism in Eukaryota, Metazoa, Chordata, Actinopteri, Esociformes, Umbridae.
GGCAGGAUACCUCAGUUGGCAGAGGGUCUGGUUCAUACCCGAACGUCAGUGGGUUCGAUCCCCAUUCCUGCUA